Molecule: non-coding RNA, 102 nt
Filed under: Oceanithermus profundus
Lineage: Bacteria; Thermotogati; Deinococcota; Deinococci; Thermales; Thermaceae
Also listed under: 1 other name
Description: SAM-I sequence
Rfam family: SAM riboswitch aptamer (S box leader)
About the family: The SAM riboswitch is found upstream of a number of genes which code for proteins involved in methionine or cysteine biosynthesis in Gram-positive bacteria. The SAM riboswitch acts at the level of transcription termination control. The predicted structure consists of a complex stem-loop region followed by a single stem loop terminator region.
Source: RNAcentral
UCCUCAUCCCGAGCGGCCGAGGGAACUGGCCCGACGACGCCGCGGCAACCGGCGGGAACCCCGCAAGGUGCCAAUGCCAGCCCCCCAGGGGAACGAUGAGGA